RNAcentral lists this ribosomal RNA (253 nucleotides) under uncultured bacterium. Its description in RNAcentral is "partial 16S ribosomal RNA". It matches the Rfam family "Bacterial small subunit ribosomal RNA", at positions 524 to 776 of the family's 1533-position model. The record is from RNAcentral.
UACGUAGGGGGCGAGCGUUGUCCGGAUUUAUUGGGCGUAAAGAGCUCGUAGGCGGUUCAGUAAGUCGGGUGUGAAAUCUCCGUGCUCAACACGGAGCGGCCACCUGAUACUGAUCGGCUCGAAGGCAGGAGAGGGAAGCGGAAUUCCCGGUGUAGUGGUGAAAUGCGUAGAUAUCGGGAGGAACACCAGUGGCGAAGGCGGCUUUCUGGCCUGUUCUUGACGCUGAGGCGCGAAAGCUAGGGUAGCAAACGGG